GGCGGACGGGUGAGUAAUGCAUAGGUAACGUGCCCUUCAGUCUGGGAUAGCCACUGGAAACGGUGAUUAAUACCGGAUACCCCUUCUGAUUGAUUUUCAGAAGGGAAAGGUUUUUCGCUGAGGGAUCGGCCUAUGUCCUAUCAGGUAGUUGGUGAGGUAAGAGCUCACCAAGCCAAUGACGGGUAGCGGGUUUGAGAGGAUGAUCCGCCACACUGGUACUGAGACACGGACCAGACUCCUACGGGAGGCAGCAGUGAGGAAUAUUGCACAAUGGGGGAAACCCUGAUGCAGCAACGCCGCGUGGAGGAUGACGCAUUUCGGUGUGUAAACUCCUUUUAUCAGAGAAGAUAAUGACGGUAUCUGAUGAAUAAGCACCGGCUAACUCCGUGCCAGCAGCCGCGGUAAUACGGAGGGUGCAAGCGUUACUCGGAAUCACUGGGCGUAAAGGACGCGUAGGCGGGUUUUCAAGUCAGGUGUGAAAUCCAAUGGCUCAACCAUUGAACUGCACUUGAAACUGGGAACCUAGAGUAUGGAAGGGGCAGAUGGAAUUAGUGGUGUAGGGGUAAAAUCCGUAGAUAUCACUAGGAAUACCGAAAGCGAAGGCGAUCUGCUGGGACAUUACUGACGCUGAGGCGUGAAAGCGUGGGGGAGCAAACAGGAUUAGAUACCCUGGUAGUUCCACGCCCUAAACGAUGAAUGCUAGU
This 704-nucleotide ribosomal RNA is filed under the name uncultured bacterium. RNAcentral describes it as "bacterial SSU rRNA". It matches the Rfam family "Bacterial small subunit ribosomal RNA", at positions 97 to 820 of the family's 1533-position model. The record is from RNAcentral.